GCUCCCUUCGUCUAGCGGUUAGGACGUCGCCCUCUCACGGCGAAAACAGGGGUUCGAUUCCCCUAGGGAGCGCCA
Molecule: transfer RNA, 75 nt
Filed under: Bradyrhizobium sp.
Lineage: Bacteria; Pseudomonadati; Pseudomonadota; Alphaproteobacteria; Hyphomicrobiales; Nitrobacteraceae
Also listed under: 1 other name
Description: tRNA-Glu
Rfam family: tRNA
About the family: Transfer RNA (tRNA) molecules are approximately 80 nucleotides in length. Their secondary structure includes four short double-helical elements and three loops (D, anti-codon, and T loops). Further hydrogen bonds mediate the characteristic L-shaped molecular structure. tRNAs have two regions of fundamental functional importance: the anti-codon, which is responsible for specific mRNA codon recognition, and the 3' end, to which the tRNAs corresponding amino acid is attached (by aminoacyl-tRNA synthetases). tRNAs cope with the degeneracy of the genetic code in two manners: having more than one tRNA (with a specific anti-codon) for a particular amino acid; and 'wobble' base-pairing, i.e. permitting non-standard base-pairing at the 3rd anti-codon position.
Source: RNAcentral